GAUGAACGCUGGCGGCGUGCCUAAUACAUGCAAGUCGAGCGAACAGACGAGGAGCUUGCUCCUCUGACGUUAGCGGCGGACGGGUGAGUAACACGUGGAUAACCUACCUAUAAGACUGGGAUAACUUCGGGAAACCGGAGCUAAUACCGGAUAAUAUAUUGAACCGCAUGGUUCAAUAGUGAAAGACGGUUUUGCUGUCACUUAUAGAUGGAUCCGCGCCGCAUUAGCUAGUUGGUAAGGUAACGGCUUACCAAGGCAACGAUGCGUAGCCGACCUGAGAGGGUGAUCGGCCACACGGGAACGGAGACACGGUCCAGACUACUACGGGAGGCAGCAGUAGGGAAUCUUCCGCAACGGGCGAAAGCCUGACGGAGCAACGCCGCGUGAGUGAUGAAGGUCUUCGGAUCGUAAAACUCUGUUAUUAGGGAAGAACAAAUGUGUAAGUAACUAUGCACGUCUUGACGGUACCUAAUCAGAAAGCCACGGCUAACUACGUG
RNAcentral lists this ribosomal RNA (497 nucleotides) under uncultured bacterium. RNAcentral describes it as "partial 16S ribosomal RNA". It matches the Rfam family "Bacterial small subunit ribosomal RNA", at positions 28 to 507 of the family's 1533-position model. The record is from RNAcentral.